This 166-nucleotide ribosomal RNA is filed under the name uncultured bacterium. Its description in RNAcentral is "partial 16S ribosomal RNA". It matches the Rfam family "Bacterial small subunit ribosomal RNA", at positions 1336 to 1500 of the family's 1533-position model. The record is from RNAcentral.
UAGUAAUGGCAGGUCAGCAUACUGCCGUGAAUACGUUCCCGGGCCUUGUACACACCGCCCGUCACACCAUGAGAGUUGGGGAUACCCAAAGCCCGUGAGCCAACAUUUAAUGAGGCAGCGGUCUAAGGUAGAAUCAAUGAUUGGGGUGAAGUCGUAACAAGGUAGC